CAAAUACCAGAUAAAUGCAAAUUAAUUCAAAAAUUAAAAAAAAAGAAAUAUUCGAAUCCCCUUCCUCAACCCACGUUGAAAAAAACGCUACCUCUCUCCCCAAAUCUCUCCCAUAUCUGUAACCCCCUCCCUUCUAUAAUAUUCACGACAAGAUCAUCCUCCUUCCUAUUCAUUCUCUGCAAUCAAGAAACCAAGACCCAUUCUCCUCAACGUCAAUUCAAGUAACCAAAUCCUCCAGCUUCAAGAACCAUUUUUUUUUCUCCUCAACCUCCGUCUGCAAUUGAAGGUGAAUCAUCGCAAGGGAAUCGUGAUCGCAAGGGAAAGAAAGUAAUUUCAAUUU
Long non-coding RNA from Salvia splendens (bonfire salvia), 340 nucleotides. RefSeq lists it as uncharacterized. The record is from RefSeq and is a predicted model, not a curated record. Lineage: Eukaryota; Viridiplantae; Streptophyta; Magnoliopsida; Lamiales; Lamiaceae. The transcript has 3 exons.